This 335-nucleotide unclassified non-coding RNA is filed under the name soil metagenome. RNAcentral's name for it is "partial contains 5.8S ribosomal RNA, internal transcribed spacer 2, and large subunit ribosomal RNA". The stretch from base 1 to 120 matches the Rfam family "5.8S ribosomal RNA", at positions 35 to 154 of the family's 154-position model. The record is from RNAcentral.
GAUGAAGAACGCAGCGAAAUGCGAUAAGUAGUGUGAAUUGCAGAAUUCAGUGAAUCAUCGAAUCUUUGAACGCACAUUGCGCCCUUUGGUAUUCCUUAGGGCACGCCUGUUCGAGCGUCAUUUAAACCUUCAAGCUCAGCUUGGUGAUGGGUGACUGUCCUCCCCUCGCGGGGGGACUCGCCUCAAAAACAUUGGCGGCCGGUACAUUGGCUUCGAGCGCAGCAGAAACGCGGUCUCGAGUCCGGUGGAUCGGCUCCCAUAAGUCUAUUCUUUUAUUUUGACCUCGGAUCAGGUAGGGAUACCCACUGAACUUAAGCAUAUCAAUAAGCGGAGGA